Molecule: ribosomal RNA, 497 nt
Filed under: uncultured bacterium
Lineage: Bacteria
Description: partial 16S ribosomal RNA
Rfam family: Bacterial small subunit ribosomal RNA
Source: RNAcentral
GAUGAACGCUGGCGGCGUGCCUAAUACAUGCAAGUCGAGCGAACAGAUGAGGAGCUUGCUCCUCUGACGUUAGCGGCGGACGGGUGAGUAACACGUGGAUAACCUACCUAUAAGACUUGGAUAACUUCGGGAAACCGGAGCUAAUACCGGAUAAUAUAUUGAACCGCAUGGUUCAAUAGUGAAAUACGGUUUUGCUUCCACUUAUAGAUGGAUCCGCGCCGCAUUAGCUAGUUGGUAAGGUAACGGCUUACCAAGGCAACGAUGCGUAGCCGACCUGAGAGGGUGAUCGGCCACACUGGAACUGAGACACGGUCCAGACUCCUACGGGAGGCAGCAGUAGGGAAUCUUCCGCAAAGGGCGAAAGCCUGACGGAGCAACGCCGCGUGAGUGAUGAAGGUCUUCGGAUCGUAAAACUCUGUUAUUAGGGAAGAACAAAUGUGUAAGUAACUAUGCACGUCUUGACGGUACCUAAUCAGAAAGCCACGGCUAACUACGUG